AAAUAACAAUUCUCAUGAAUACAAUUGAACCAAAUUCACAAAACAAAGACAACUAACUACCUAUCUCGUACUAUUCGAUCCUAAGAAAAAUAAAUAAAUACAACAAUAUCUUAAAAGAAAAACUAGUGUGGAGCUAAGUAUUUCCUCUAUUUCUUGUAGUUAUCUUUACUAUCCGUCACCUGUUCGCAAAGAAAAAAAUAAAAUAAAUUACUUCAGUUAGUAAAAAAUAACAACGAUAGAAUACAAUAAAUUUGUAGUCCCGUUGCUUACGGAACUCUAAAGCAUAACAACUUUGUCUGAUGGUCAUGCUACCGAUAACAAAAUUACUGAAUAUAUGCUCCUUUAAGCUUCCAUUUUCUAUAUAUUGAAGUACUAGGAACCUGAAAAGAUAAAAUAGUGCUGCUAAAAGAAUCUAAAUCUAUUUAAAUUAGCAUUUAUUCAGGUACGUACACCUUUAAAAUAUAGAAGUCAUUCCAUCAUAAAAUAUUUAUCAAACAUGAUCCAGAUAGACAAAAAGAGGGAUUCGAAGACAAUAAUUGGAACACUCUAGAGAUUAAAAUACAAAUAUGGGAGAAAUCAUGAAAAGCAACUUCUUGAUUACCAUUUUCCAAAAUUUGGGGGAGCCUGCAAAAUAAAGUCUGUCCAUCGUAAACUUCUUUCCAUGAUAAUCUUAUCAAACCGAAAUUCAGCUCAAUAUUAACUAUUGAAACAAAGAAAAACUAAUUCAAUUUGCAAAAGGACAUUAAAAUUAUAAAGUGCAAGAUUUCAUAACAAGCGUAACUCGCCGAUGAAGUACAAAUGAGUUAUUAGUUACAGAGAUAUAAACCUUCAUAUUAACAAGUUCAAUUUAUUGCAUUGUAACAUGACCAAUGUGGAUUCUCGUAAGGCUUGCAUUUCUCAUAAAUAGUGAUAGUUUUAUGUUAUUAAUCCAAACAAGAAAAAGAUCUCAAGUCCACUAUAAAUUGUUUGUUGCGACCAUAAAUUCCACAAAGAUCUUUUUCGAUAACACGCUUAACAAAAAGCAAAUAUCACCACCUGUCGAGCACAAUCGAAAUCAACUCAAAUUUCACACAAAUAGCCAUCUACACAUUUAAAGAAUGAAAUUUUUGCAUUAUAAUUUAUGUUUAAACGAAUUUUAAAACCUAUUUAUAUACAAAAAGUGCAUGCCUGCAAGGAAUUCAAUGACAACUCUAUCACUUUUCUUUUGGAUCCAAUUAAAAAACUUAAAGUAUCAAUUUAAGGAAGUUUCUUGUUAUUCUCAAAAGACAUAAACCACCGUCUUGUCUACAUAUGAAAACCUCAAACAUAAACUAAAUAAAGCAAGAAGAGAAUUAGAAAGUAAACAACAUUCAAGACAAAAUGUAAAUUAGUUCUCUUGAGUUUUCUCCUGUUUUUCUCCCCAUACCUAUACACUUGAAGCAUUUUUGAACAUACUUAUCUUUCAAUUACUCUUUUUACUAAAAACAUUGAAGGGGAGGAUCUCUGUCAUAUAUUGGCAUAUAAAUGCCAGAAACAUGCACAAAAUUGAUGAGUGAACAAGUAAUAAUAUAGACGCACAUCACAACAUGUAUUAACUAACCUGAUAAUGCAAACAUAUUUUAGGAAGAAGGCGUUCAAGCUUGUCAUCUAA
RNAcentral lists this long non-coding RNA (1630 nucleotides) under Erythranthe guttata (spotted monkey flower). Its description in RNAcentral is "long non-coding RNA (EGUT_LNC002852)". Lineage: Eukaryota; Viridiplantae; Streptophyta; Magnoliopsida; Lamiales; Phrymaceae. The record is from RNAcentral.